UGGCUGAGCGGGACCCUGGGGGACCUAUCGUGCCCGGGGCAGAGAAGCCCUGCAGACCCUGAGAGACAGCCACGCAGCCGAAGCACGGCCCCACCAGUUGCCACCGCUGGGGACAGGACAACGUCAUGGGUGGCCAGAGUGGGCGAUGGCACGGAAACGGUAACACCGGGGAUGAAACUGCCCCUGUCACAGCUGAGUCUCCACUUCUGAGCAUGCUGACGGGCACAGACAGUAAACCAACGAUUCUGGGUGGCCUGUUGCUGUGGUGUGGCAGAGAGGGCACAGCCCCAAGGAGAUAGGAGGCUGGACUGUACCACCACCACUUGGCAAGUCAGUGGACCCCUCUUGCUUCACUCCCCUUAUUUGUGCAAAAAAGAUGGGGCCAGAUCAGGAGUUUCCAGCCAAGCUCUCUGGGGCUCCAGUGGCGGUGUGGAGUCUUCAUAUUGGUCAGAAGGUGCUACUUUUGCAGAAGGCACUCAGAGGAGGAAAUCUGCAUCCUGUUCACCCUACAAGCAGGCUCUGCCUCAAGCUCUGUAGCCAGGGCCUGCACUCCAUGGGGACAGCGAGGGAGCCAUCUAUGGAGGUUUGAGCAGGUGAGGUGCCUGGGUUUUGCUCAGUAUGCCCAGAGAAAGGGGGAGAAAGUUAGGUUGGAACCUGGUUUGGAGUGCAGCCAAGAUCAUGGCAGAGGAGAGUCUCGGGAGCUCUGUUGCUUGAACUCUGCAGUAUCCAGGACCUCCAAGUGAGCAUCACCAGAGGCCCGAGACGUUUUUACGAGGUAUUUAUUUAUUUAUUUAUUUAUUUUAGAUAUUUUCUUAAUGAUUUUUUUAAAAAAUAGUUUUAAUUUAAAUUCCAGUUCAUUACCAUACAGUGUAAUACUAGUUUCAGGUAUACAAUUGAGUUAUUCAACACGCCCAUACAACACCUGGUGCUCAUCACAACAGGUGCACUCCUUAAGCCCCAUCACCCGUUUGAUCCAUCCCUCCUGCCCUCCUCCUCUCUGGUAAUCAUCCAUUUCUUCUCUAUAGUUAAGGGUCUGUUUCUUGGCUUGCCUUCCCCUCCCU
Canis lupus familiaris (dog) is the source of this 1061-nucleotide long non-coding RNA. RefSeq lists it as uncharacterized. The record is from RefSeq and is a predicted model, not a curated record. The transcript is spliced from 3 exons. NCBI's taxonomy places the organism in Eukaryota, Metazoa, Chordata, Mammalia, Carnivora, Canidae.